RNAcentral lists this long non-coding RNA (906 nucleotides) under Ovis aries (sheep). RNAcentral's name for it is "lncRNA (ENSOARG00000025321.1)". The record is from RNAcentral. Lineage: Eukaryota; Metazoa; Chordata; Mammalia; Artiodactyla; Bovidae.
UUUGCUGGCAUAUCAGAGUCACCCAAUAAGGGAAGGCAACCUUUUGAUUUUAACGUAGAGAAUAAACUGUUGCUGCAUUGCAAAUGAGCUCAACAGAUCCCAAGAGAAUUUCUUCUUGAUGCAAGACAGAAUCUAGAAUAUUAAAUAAGAUUUCUCAUUGUCAACUUUUAGCACACAUAAACUUUCCAGAGCUGAAAUCAGUGAUUCUGCAGGGCACUCCCCAUUAAGGAAACAGUGACACCAGAAAACCUACAACAUAUUAUAGAGCCAUAGACGCCAUAUUAGGAGGACUGGCUGCAUCUGGGAGGGCAUGCAUGGGUGAGGAAAUGGGUGCCUAGAGGGGUGUGUCAGGCAGGCAGCUGAUGUAAAGGAGCAGUUAAGGUUGUUGAGCACCUGACUUGAACUCAGGGCUCCUGACUUACCACAAAGUCUUAUCGACUCCAACAAAUCAGUGCUGCUUUUCAUCCCUUUGCAGAUGGCCUGCUAAGCCCCAGCUUGGAGCAUCUGAAUGGAGAUUCUGGGACGUCUGACCUCUGCAGUGAGAAGAUGCUGUGCCUGAGCCACUGCCCCACGAGCAUCUGGGUGCCGGGCUGCAUUCACGUAUUGCAGAGCCAGUCCAGCCGACCUGCAGACUUGCAGCCUGAAGCUGAGCCACGCAGCAGACAUGCUGAAUGGGAUUUGACUAUUUUUGUCUGUCACUGUGAUUGGGGGAUUGUUACACAGCAAUGCCUAACAGUUACAUGUGGUUUGCUUGGCCUCACCUUCGGGAGGUGCAGGAGUAAAGAAUCCGCCAGCCAGUACAGGAGAGACAGUGGAAUCCACAUAGAAGAGGCCCCUGAGGAUGCAUCUGGAUCGGGACUUCAUGGGCCAGAGCCAGCAGCUAACCCAGAGACUCUGCUGCUGUAA